ACCGCCCAAAAGAGUAAGCAUCAGAGACGUAUGCGCCAAGGGGGGAAGGGGGCACCGUGACUUUGGGACAUCACGUUCGCUACACCUCAUCACCGUGGUCAGCCUACAGAAAGAAGAAGCAUCGUUGUAAAGCAGCUGGAGAUUUCGUACAAGAUGCCCUGCACGGACCCGUUCUGCAGCGAUGUGUGCGUUGGAAGAAACUGCUUCCUGGGAUACUGCAAGUUUCCCCAGUCACCCGUUCCCAGGAUCUGCGUGUGCAAGGGAUUCAGACACCACUGCGAAUGACGAAGAACCAAUUCUUGGACACGGGAGUCUGCUGUGCCCCGGCAUUCAGUCGAUGUUGUGGUCCAUGCUUUAUUUUG
Molecule: long non-coding RNA, 362 nt
Organism: Ixodes scapularis (black-legged tick)
Lineage: Eukaryota; Metazoa; Arthropoda; Arachnida; Ixodida; Ixodidae
Exons: 4
Source: RefSeq, a predicted model, not a curated record